RNAcentral lists this transfer RNA (118 nucleotides) under archaeon. Its description in RNAcentral is "tRNA-Leu". It matches the Rfam family "tRNA". From Rfam's summary of the family: Transfer RNA (tRNA) molecules are approximately 80 nucleotides in length. Their secondary structure includes four short double-helical elements and three loops (D, anti-codon, and T loops). RNAcentral also lists the same sequence under 1 other name. The record is from RNAcentral.
GCAGGGGUACCCAAGCUGGUCAAAGGGGCAGGACUCAGAAUCCUGUAGGCGAAGGCCUUUCGUGGGUUCAAAUUCAGUUUAAUGUUUUCAUUGGCUGAGGGAUAUCCCAUCCCCUGCA